CUUGGACAACAUGUCAGCUCCCAGUGAUGGACUUGGCAGACAAAGUUUACAGCGAAGUUUGCAACUUUAAUAAUCUAGGAGGAGUAUUUGGGCUAUCCCAUCAUUAUGCAUCUUCAUAUUACAAACUAUUUAAGAUAUCUGAAUGCACUAAAGACCAAAUUAGCAUUUCCCAAAAGAAUAGUUACUGCCAAUGCAAGAAUCUGCCAAUCCUGACAAUAAAUUACCAGACAAUAAUCAUAACUUAGUGAAUAAACAUGAUGAAAACUAUGGUGUAGAAUUUCCAACAGGAGUCCUUGUUUUAUUUAAGACGAGGAGUGGUUUAUUUUCCUAUGGUUGUUAUAUCAUCUCGUCUUAGACAUGUUAGAAUAUGCUUGAAGUACAGGGACUUUCAUGGAAUUCAUUGACAUCAUAGUCAAGCAAGAUGUCAACAUCUCGUCCAAUGUUUUCCAGCAAAGCCAAUUUGAAAGCUGACCAAGGAUCUUCAUCAUUUCGUGACAGGGUGUAUACAGGAUGAGUCAUUCCACUAGGAUCAGGACUAUUGUCAUGAUAAUAGAUGCAGGCAAUGCUGAUGAUUUUUGUGAAUGUGACAAUACAUAGCCAGGUCAAACUAAAUACAUGUAAAGAACAAGAUACUGAUCUAGACUCACAGCUAACUGAACUUUUACAGCAGUCAACAUCAGAUUGGAAGACUGAUAAUGCCUCUGACAGAAACAAUUUCAACCAACCAAACAAGUAACAGAAACUUUGCAUCUUUAAACCACUACUUACAUCUUCCAUGGGAUGAUGUUCCACAAAAUAACAGUUCAUCAUUUAAAUGAAGAUUUUUAUGUUAUGGAUUUUCUUUUACAAGAAAGUUAAUGUACACUUGUUUUUAUAGUAAAACCUUGCUGUUCAAGUAUCAAAAAAACAUUUAACUUUAUUGAAAUUUGAAGAUUCAUAUGACUUGCUUUAAUUUUGUUAUUUCUCAGGAUGUCAUGUAGAGGUACAGUUAUGACAGUAAUCUAAACAGCUAUUCAAUUUCAUUCAAAAUUCUUUGAAAAUUUGGCACUAGUAAAUAUAAACUGAAGUAAUUUGUUUUUCGUUUAGUUAUGGGAUUUUUAUGGCCAGUUACAAAGUAGUUGGUGCCUUAAGUUUUACCCUUGUACUAAAAUUCAGAUUUUCCGUAAUUCCAUAAUUCAGUCAUUCCGAAACAAACCAUUAUACAGUGUUUUUUUCUAAACGUCAUAGAUAUUAGCCUGAUUUUUGGUAUGUAAGUUGACUAUGAUGAGUUACAGAUCAAGUAUAAGUUUUGUUCCACUCCCCUAAUUUCUGUUGAAAUUACCCGCUAUGGACUUUGAUAAAUUGUUGAAAAUCACAGUUAUAUGCACUUUUUUCCUAAACGCUUUCAGAUAUUGGGCUAAUUUUUGGUAUGUGAGUUACAGAUCAAGUUUAAGUUUCAUCAUGCUACCCUAAUAUUUGCUGUAAUUUCGGGCUUUGGACUUUGAAAAAUUUUGGAAAAUCAAAAUAUAGGGACCUUUCCUCUAUUAAAAUGCUUUCAGAUAUUGGGCUGAUUUUUGGUAUGU
Molecule: long non-coding RNA, 1562 nt
Organism: Mytilus trossulus (common blue mussel)
Lineage: Eukaryota; Metazoa; Mollusca; Bivalvia; Mytilida; Mytilidae
Exons: 3
Source: RefSeq, a predicted model, not a curated record